RNAcentral lists this ribosomal RNA (253 nucleotides) under uncultured bacterium. RNAcentral's name for it is "partial 16S ribosomal RNA". It matches the Rfam family "Bacterial small subunit ribosomal RNA", at positions 524 to 776 of the family's 1533-position model. The record is from RNAcentral.
UACGUAGGGGGCUAGCGUUGUCCGGAAUCAUUGGGCGUAAAGCGCGUGUAGGCGGUCCGGUAAGUCCGCUGUGAAAGUCGGGGGCUCAACCCUCGAAAGCCGGUGGAAACUGUCGGGCUAGAGUACGGAAGAGGCGAGUGGAAUUCCUGGUGUAGCGGUGAAAUGCGCAGAUAUCAGGAGGAACACCAAUUGCGAAGGCAGCUCGCUGGGACGUUACUGACGCUGAGACGCGAAAGCCAGGGGAGCAAACGGG